Molecule: long non-coding RNA, 888 nt
Organism: Sardina pilchardus (European sardine)
Lineage: Eukaryota; Metazoa; Chordata; Actinopteri; Clupeiformes; Clupeidae
Exons: 3
Source: RefSeq, a predicted model, not a curated record
GGGACUGAAAGCAGAAAGCGGAGAAAAGGUGAGAGUGUUGAGGCCAGAGCCUGGAGACAGGAACAAGGAGGCUGAACAGGAAACCACUCUCUGGAGUACCACAGAGAACCACAAAAGCUCCAUCCCCUAGGGGGAGGUUUCGGGUAGCAGGGAACAGCAGCAGACGGACCAUGUGUAGGAUUGACACAGACAACCAUCAAGAGCCAUCAAUAAAACCAACAAUUUCUAGUGAUCUUCACUGUUUCUCGCCAAUUAAUUUCUCAUAAUUCUGCAACCUAAUGACUUAUACCAAACCAUUCCAGGAAGAUGUGAGCCAUAUGCUUCUGUAAAGCAUGUCACCUACACUGAGGGGCCAGGAGACAGCAGCCUGCAGCCUGAGGCCACACAGGCUCCCUACCUGGACCACGUCCGUCCACAACAUUCAUCAAUGCCCUCAUCGCCUCUAGACUCGACUGCUUUAAGAGCUCUCUCUAUGGCUAAGAGCUUUCUCUGUGGCUUACCGCACAAAUCCACCAAGAAGCUCCGAUAUCUCCAUGACGCUGCUACCCACCUGCUCACCUCCACCCGGCGCUGAGACCACUUCACCCUGGUCCUUCAGAACCUCCACAAAGCAUUAAUCAGCCUGGCCACACCCCAUCUCACCGACCUCCUCCCCCACCUCUUCUCAGUCUCAACACAUCGGCACAGGUUUAUGAAUGCAGAUACCUUAGAGACCACCACUACCAAGCUCCAGACCUGGGCGUCGGGGCCUUUUCUGCAGCUGCACCCUCCCUCUGGAACACCGUUCCUAACCACUUCAGACUGUCAAACACCAUCUGCCAGGCAGCGUCUCAAAACCCACCUCUUCAAACUAGCUUUCUCUUAUUAAAUAACUCCCCUAGUCAACCA